This 433-nucleotide ribosomal RNA is filed under the name uncultured bacterium. RNAcentral describes it as "partial 16S ribosomal RNA". It matches the Rfam family "Bacterial small subunit ribosomal RNA", at positions 29 to 507 of the family's 1533-position model. The record is from RNAcentral.
AACGAACGCUGGCGGCAUGCCUAACACAUGCAAGUCGAACGAGACCUUCGGGUCUAGUGGCGCACGGGUGCGUAACCCGUGGGAACCUGCCCUUAGGUUCGGACUAACUCCCCGAAAGGGGUGCUAAUACCGGAUAAUGUCUUCGGACCAAUGAUUUAUCGCCUUUGGAUGGGCCCGCGUUGGAUUAGCUAGUUGGUAGGGUAAAAGCCUACCAAGGCGACGAUCCAUAGCUGGUCUGAGAGGAUGAUCAGCCACACUGGGACUGAGACACGGCCCAGACUCCUACGGGAGGCAGCAGUGGGGAAUAUUGGACAAUGGGCGAAAGCCUGAGCCAGCAAGGCCGCGUGAGUGAUGAAGGCCUUAGGGUUGUAAAGCUCUUUUACCCGGGAUGAUAAUGACAGUACCGGGAGAAUAAGCUCCGGCUAACUCCGUG